UGCCAGCCGCCGCGGUAAGACGAACCGUCCAAACGUUAAUCGGAAUCACUGGGCUUAAAGCGUACGUAGGCGGGUGCGCAGGCAUCUUGUGAAAUCCCUCGGCUCAACCGAGGAACUGCAGGGUGAACCACGCAUCUUGAGACGAGUAGGGGCUGUCGGAACGCUAGGUGGAGUGGUGAAAUGCGUUGAUAUCUAGCGGAACGCCGAAGGAGAAAUCAGGCAGCUGGGCUUGUUCUGACGCUGAGGUACGAAAGCGUGGGGAGCGAACGGGAUUAGAUA
RNAcentral lists this ribosomal RNA (279 nucleotides) under uncultured bacterium. Its description in RNAcentral is "partial 16S ribosomal RNA". It matches the Rfam family "Bacterial small subunit ribosomal RNA", at positions 506 to 784 of the family's 1533-position model. The record is from RNAcentral.